GACAAGACGUGUGCAGGCAAGGGGCAACAAAAGAAGCGAAUGUGUACAAUCCGCAAGUGCAAGCGAGAAGCAAGGUAGAUCAACUUAAGAAGCUCUAUCAAAGUGUGUUUAAGGUUCCUUGUCGUCGUGAUAUCGUCGUCAGCCUAGCUAACCAUCGCUUGCAUCAAUGGAGGGGAUGGAGGGGUACACGAUG
Molecule: long non-coding RNA, 193 nt
Organism: Zea mays
Lineage: Eukaryota; Viridiplantae; Streptophyta; Magnoliopsida; Poales; Poaceae
Exons: 3
Source: RefSeq, a predicted model, not a curated record